GACGAACGCUGGCGGCGUGCUUAACACAUGCAAGUCGAACGGAAAGGCCCUGCUUGCAGGGUACUCGAGUGGCGAACGGGUGAGUAACACGUGGGUGAUCUGCCCUGCACUUCGGGAUAAGCCUGGGAAACUGGGUCUAAUACCGGAUAGGAGCCAUUUUUAGUGUGAUGGUUGGAAAGUUUUUUCGGUGUAGGAUGAGCUCGCGGCCUAUCAGCUUGUUGGUGGGGUAAUGGCCUACCAAGGCGGCGACGGGUAGCCGGCCUGAGAGGGUGGACGGCCACCCUGGGACUGAGAGACGGCACAGACGGCGAAUGGUGGAAGCAGUGGGGAAGAUUGCACAAGGGGCGCCAGCCUGAUGCAGCGGGGCCGCGUGGGGUAUGACGGCCUUCGGGUUGUAAACACCCUUCGCGAUGGACGAAGCUUUUUGUGACGGUACCUAGAGAAGAAGCACCGGCUAACUACGUG
This 465-nucleotide ribosomal RNA is filed under the name uncultured bacterium. RNAcentral describes it as "partial 16S ribosomal RNA". It matches the Rfam family "Bacterial small subunit ribosomal RNA", at positions 28 to 507 of the family's 1533-position model. The record is from RNAcentral.